UCACUGAGGUUUUUCUCUUUUAUUGCAGAUUAUCACUCAGCCCAGGAUUCACUGUGGAUCUCCUCCCUCCUCAUGCUACCACCUUGCCCUUGUCUCUCCCUUUCUCUCUUUUUGUCCACAUCCCUCCUCUCUUGUACAGUGGUCCACAGAUUUCUAGGUUCCAUCUCAAUCCCACACUGGGACAGUUUUGGUAAAUCCCUCAUGCACUGGUGCCUGGAAGCUGCCUCCAUGAAGUAAGCUGGGCAACAAUAGUGCUCAUCUCAUCUGUCUUCCUUAUCUCUGUGCUACCUGAUGUACAAGGUCCAAAAUUUGUUUAAUAUAUUUUGUCCAGUUUUCUAGUUGUAAGGUCAACUCUACCUUUAACUGUGAAAAAGAAGUAAUGGUAAUUUAUUUAUUUAUUUUUUGGGGUAUUUUUACAAAUGUAUUAUUUUAUGAUGGGAGGAUAUGUGAUAAUAACCUUAUCAUUCAACCACACAUUAUUUGAGACCUGCCGUAGAUAAGGUUUCCUCCAGACAUGUUGACUGAGUCUUGGGGAUGAACAGAGCUAGUUCAGGUAAAGAACUUGAGGAAAGGAGGGAGCAUUUUCCGUUCGGGGGAUUCUUCUCUGACUCAUGGGCAUCUUGGAGACAUAUGGAAGGAAGAAAUCCCUGACUAUUCCAUCUAGAAAUUGUAACUGGGGUUUAUUGCAAAGCUAGAGAUACCUGUACCAUGCAAAAAAAUUAUGGAAGUAAUAAUAGUUUCCCUGAGCACGCUUAUAUUUAGGACUCUUUUCUUAGGGUCCUGUCCCAUUCUUCUGUACGUACCCCACAAGCUAUUACCAGGAGGAAUAGGUCAGACAAAACUGUGGUGCAAUUUUCACGAUCACCACCAGAGGGCGCGGCUUCCUUCAGAUGCGGUUCCUCAUUGUAUUCAGGAGCUGGUUUCACUUGCCUGCUUUGUAGCCACAAGACAGAAUAUUGCUGCAGUACAGAAAGGGGCUCUCAGUUUCUGAGCGAGGAGCUUCUGUAACAUCCAGAUGAAGACUAGAUUUGUUAGACUGGUGUAUUGCAGGGAACAAGGAUCGUUUUCUUUGGCGAACAUGCAUUCUGCCACUCACUCAGUUCUUCUGAUCAUCUUAAUAUUCAGAGGGACCAAUGGUGACUCAGUGAACCAGACAGAGGGCCCAGUGACUGUCUCAGAGGGGGCUCUCAUGACCCUGAACUGCACUUACCAGACUACUGAUUUGGCUCCUUAUCUUUUCUGGUAUAUCCAGCAUUUCAACAAAGCUCCUCAACUCCUCCUGAAGGGCUCGAUGUCAGACCAGAACCCAAAGAGUAAAGGUUUCCAGGCCACUCUUGUUAAGCGUGACAGCUCCUUCCACCUGCAGAAACGGGCAGUGCAAGCAUCAGACUCGGCUGUGUACUACUGUGCUCUGUGUGACACAGUGAGAGAGGGCUGCGGGGCAGCUGAGCACAAACCCCAAGUGCAGAUGGGGCUCUGGCUGUGGGCAGCCCUGCAGGGGGGUUGCUGUUUCUGUCUUCAGUGUUUUAUGCUAGCUGUGUUGUUGUUUAUGUACUAAGUCACGUCCGACUCUUUUGCGACCCUAUGACUGUAGUGGGCUCUUCUGUCCAUGGGAUUUCCCGGGCAAGAAGACUGGAGUGGGUUGCCAUUUCUUUCUCUUGGGAAUUAUCCCAACCCAGGAAUGGUACCCGUGUCUCCUGUUUGGCAGGCAGAUUAUUUACCACUGAGCCACGUGGGAAGCCCCUGUUUUAUGCCAGAGGCAUUGUCAAAGUACUUCCAGCUCUGACGCUCAGUGCCAAGAACACUGCAAAUCUUGGAUUGGUCUACAGAGAGGAAUCUGGGAGGGACAGUGAAGAGAGGAAUCUAAAAGGCCUUCUCCAGAAAUGCCUGUUUUGAGCCCAGUGACAUUUCUCCAGAUGGCAUAGAAUUCCUGGAAGUGACAUUAACUCUGUUCAAUGACAGUUCAGUUGAUAUAUGCUGAAAUAUGUCACAACCUGUUGAUGAAAACUCCCAGGACACCUCGUUCAUGGAUGCACGUAUGACCUUGAAGCUACUGUCUGAUUUUUAUAAUUCAGACCAGCAUUUUGUGUCUUGCUGAGUUUCACCUGCAGACACUCCGUCUUUAGUGUCUGGGACCUUUACACUCUCUUCCCUUGACUUUUCCAACUCUUAUGGUUGCUCAAGAAAUGCUGCUGCUGUGAGUCCCAUGAAGAUGGUUUCCUGAAAAGAUAUUCCUUCUGUCAAGGGCCCUGUGGGUCAGAGCAGUCUAGUCAGUGAACAUUUUGCACAUGAGGUGUCUUGCUUAUAUGUUGGUGAUAGCUCCACCCUCAUCUUGUCAUCAUGGCAGCUCUUUACAGAAUGCUAGGUCAUGAUCCCGAGUCUGGUCUUGAGGAUCUGUGCUGUGAGAAAUUCUGGACAUAAACAUGACCACGUAACCUGACAUAUUAUCUUUAUCACUGUAUUGAGGCCUCUGAUCCUUUUGAAGUGGGUCAAAUUCAGUGACCAAGCAAACACUCAGUCCGUUAGUGAAAAGAGGGACUUUUGUUGACAGGGAUUCUAAAUUCUUGACAUAUUCACAGUGUUCCCACAGCAGAGGAGCAAAAAACAAAGAAAUGAGUGGCUCUCACUGCAACUUGCAAUGAAUGAAACUCACCGAGAGAAAUUCGUCCUGGCAUUCUGGAGGUCUCUGAACCUCACUGUGCUUUAUCUCUCGUAUGAUUCUGUAGGACUGGCAGGUACAGAUGAAGGUUUUGCAAGCCUGAGUCUUCUGUGAUUUCAGAGGCUCUUCUUUAGAAAAAGAAAAUGAAAUUGCAGAAUCAAGUUUCUUGGGCCCAGGACACUAAGAUAUCCUGAAAUACAGGCUGAAUUGCUUCAUGGUAAAACCCUCUGAAAGAGAUGGGAAUACCAGACCACCUGACCUGCCUCUUGAGAAAUUUGUAUGCAGGUCAGGAAGCAACAGUUUAGAACUGGACAUGGA
Molecule: non-coding RNA, 2977 nt
Organism: Bubalus bubalis (water buffalo)
Lineage: Eukaryota; Metazoa; Chordata; Mammalia; Artiodactyla; Bovidae
Source: the annotation of a RefSeq genome assembly